GGGUGACACGCAGCUCACCGGUUCCUGCGAGGACAGACACGUCCUCUGUUACAGGGAUCUAAUCGGUUACAUAAAGAAUCUAGACAGGAGGCCCCUGAUCAGGCUGAAUUUGGCAAAGAAGGAAGGACAGUCUCCUGAAGAUAUCUCACGGCCCUGAAAAUCCCGUGGGCUGCUGGAAGCCGUGGCUACAUCAUUUGAUCGGCUGUUUGACAGGGUCCAGCCGAUUAACGCCGAGGGGUGCAGGGUCGCCCCUUGGUGAAGAAUAACCUGCCAGCCCCUCACAUAGUUCUGAAACCUGUGCUGCUUCUAAUUGCCCUUCAUUCCUUUUCCUUUCUUAACCUCCAGUUUUCACUCCUUUGGGUGGCUGCUUGGGAGGCACAACCUCCUGGGAAAAUUAGAUAUAGUAAGAGAAUGUGACCACCUGCAGGUAACUUUCAAGAUAUUUUUCAGUUAAUUAAUGGAGGAGCACACAGUCCCAUUUGAGACAAUCAGAAAGGAAUCCUGCCCAGAUAAGAU
RNAcentral lists this long non-coding RNA (516 nucleotides) under Equus asinus (donkey). Its description in RNAcentral is "lncRNA (ENSEASG00005031887.1)". Lineage: Eukaryota; Metazoa; Chordata; Mammalia; Perissodactyla; Equidae. The record is from RNAcentral.